Long non-coding RNA from Scatophagus argus, 1005 nucleotides. RefSeq lists it as uncharacterized. The transcript is spliced from 2 exons. The record is from RefSeq and is a predicted model, not a curated record. Lineage: Eukaryota; Metazoa; Chordata; Actinopteri; Scatophagidae.
UCUGAACGAUUUAUUUUGAAAAAUGACCAGAUUCUCUCAGUUACAUCCAUCUAUGACUCACUCUUGAUGCAUGUCAAGACGCAGUCACGUGAUACGUCGUUACCACUAAAAAUAAACCCACAAGCUAGCAAAAUGAGUAAAAAACAAACUAUAAAAAACAAACCUCUGGAAAGGGCAAAGGCCCUAGAUGGGACCUUCUCCUUACAAAGAAACAGGCUCAGGGCUCCCACUGAUUCAGUGUUACGAAAAACUGGCUCAAGCCAAAGAGGAGAACCUGGACAUGCAUCAGGUGUUGGACCAAACCCUUCUGGAGCUCAACAAUCUAUAAAGACAUCUUCAGAGCUACACGAGGGACAACCCAAAGGAUAGAACAGAGCAUGACAAAAUCUAAAACCACCGGAGUAUGCCCUUACAAAUGGAAUCUUAAAGUAAAAUCAACGGUUGCUAUUGUUAAAGAAAAAGAAAAGAAAAAGAAAAACAGUAAAUGUGAGGAGUGGUUAACAUGUAAAUCUAUGAAGUGAUAUGAGCAAGAAAAGAGUAGAAUUCAAACGGAAAGCUACUUUGUGUGCACUGCAAAGUGAAUGCACUGCAUAAUUAAUCAGAAAUUAUUCUAUUAUUGCUAAAAAGUUCCUUGCAUGUAUGUAAGUAUCUGGUGUGCACUAGAAAAUCACUCACUGGCACAACUAUGUCAACAUGUCAAGAUCAGAAGCAUUUCUCUUCUUUGUUUACUUAUGUAUCUUGUAAGUCGUAGUUGCUACUGCACUGAAUAACAGUUACUGACAAACCUUUCUCCAUCAUGCAACAUAGUCUAUGCACCUUCUUUUCUUUUUUCUAUUUUUUUUUUUUACAUUUUCCCUUUGUUAAGUUUCAACAACAAACUGGUAGAGAACAAAUUAACAGAAAUUUAAGUGUGUGAGUGAUUGUCCAUCUUAAAAGAUAAAAUAAAUAAAGCUCUGGAAUCUGUGAUACUGACAUCGAACUCUGAAUAAAGGGUUUAUAUAUUGU